AUACGGAGGGUGCAAGCGUUAUUCGGAAUCACUGGGCGUAAAGGACGCGUAGGCGGGUUGGCAAGUCAGAUGUGAAAUCCUACAGCUUAACUGUAGAACUGCAUUUGAAACUGCUAACCUAGAGUAUGGGAGGGGGAGAUGGAAUUAGUGGUGUAGGGGUAAAAUCCGUAGAUAUCUCUAGGAAUACCGAAAGCGAAGGCGAUCGCCUGGAACAUAACUGACGCUAAGACGUGAAAGCGUGGGGAGCAAACAGGAUUAGAAACCCUAGUAGUCC
RNAcentral lists this ribosomal RNA (274 nucleotides) under uncultured bacterium. Its description in RNAcentral is "partial 16S ribosomal RNA". It matches the Rfam family "Bacterial small subunit ribosomal RNA", at positions 523 to 796 of the family's 1533-position model. The record is from RNAcentral.